This 1332-nucleotide ribosomal RNA is filed under the name Triticum aestivum (bread wheat). Its description in RNAcentral is "partial small subunit ribosomal RNA". Lineage: Eukaryota; Viridiplantae; Streptophyta; Magnoliopsida; Poales; Poaceae. The record is from RNAcentral.
AUGCUCGAGCAGUGUUCUGACCUCCGUCACCGAGCGGAACGCCUGCUGCAGUCACCACCAUCGCCGCCAUCUCCACCGCCUCUGUUGCCUGCGUCAUCAUCGCGCCUCCAAGCGGACCCCCUGCUGCACCUGCACUCACCACCUCCAGUGCUUACGGCGUCAUUAGGGCGCCCCCGAGUGAGCUUCGUGGUGAACCACAUCCUCAGUGAAGUGUCUCUUUCGUAUACACAAGCUUCGAAAUUGCUGCCCACCAACUGUUUGACUGAAUGCCCGAGCGACAUUAUGCGUCUGAAGGAGGCAAGGUUGACAACCAAAAUCACUCACCUGUCUCCGCCAGUGACGUUGGUCAUGCAUGUCAACUCUGCGCGUGCAUCAACCAACAUCAACACCACCCGAACCGUUGGCGUGGAUGCCCAGGACUCCAUCUGCAUUCCCAGGUCACCGGCCCUCAAAGCCACUUUCACUGUCGUUCCAAUACAGUCCAUGGUGACAAGUGCCUUUGUAGAAGAAUGCCUCGACGAGGACAGCCCAGAGAAGGACAUGUCUAUUGUGGCGCCACUAUCAUGGUUUCCUAUCAGCCCUGUGUGCCAGGUGCUUGUCGUUGGGUUCCUUCCUGCAGAGAUACGACCACCAUGGCCAGCACCUCUGGAUUGCAGCAGCACAGUGAUCACUAAAAUGGAUCAGUGUAGCACAGAGAAGGAGAUACCGCAGCCGGAUGUCUCACCACCGCCUUCGGCUGUCGGUUGUUUGUACCCAAGGGUCAGUACCGGUACAAGAUCUGUGAGCAGCCAUUUGAGAGCUAACUCUCUAGUUCAGAAAGUAUUCAAUGCAAUACUCAACACUGACAUGAGGGUGCAGAAUAAAGGAGUCAAUGCAAAUCUUAUAUUGCCAUGGAACCCCGGCAUACAGUCCGUAGCUGAGCCACAUCAUGUACGAGUAAUGGAAGAUGCUGUUAUAUUGGCUUAUGUAUAUUCUGUUGAGCAGUCCUACCACAAGUGGUUCAUUUCACUGAAAUAUCACUGCCAUGUUGCUGCUCAUUCCCUACCCUAUUAUGACUUGUAUGGAACAUGGUCGACCCUCAUUACCAUUGGUGUGUGUUCCAACAUGAUUGUACUACACACAGUGGAAUAUCCGGAGUUGGAGGUACAAAAUGGACUGAAUAAUGUUACAGCAGCAACCCCUGAUGAGUGUUUUCUUCCUUUAAAACAGUCCCAGUUUUGUGCCUUUGAAUUUUGGGAUGAGCAGCCUGAAAGUGCAGCUAUUACAGAAAGUGAUGCAAGCAACCCAACAAGGGUCAGCGAUCUAUAUAUUGAUGGUGCUUUCACUCUCUGA